AUACGGAGGAUCCGAGCAUUAUCCGGAUUUAUUGGGUUUAAAGGGUGCGCAGGCGGCCAUUUAAGUCAGCGGUUAAAUCGUGGGGCUCAACCCCAUUCUGCCGUUGAUACUGGGUGGCUUGAUUGCGGUCGAGGUUGGCGGAAUUCGUUGUGUAGCGGUGAAAUGCAUAGAUAUGACGAAGAACACCGAUUGCGUAGGCAGCUGACCAGACCGCAAAUGACGCUCAUGCACGAAAGUGCGGGGAUCGAACAGGAUUAGAUACCCUGGUAGUCCGCACAGUAAACGAUGAAUACUUGUUUUCGGCGAUAUAAUGUCGGAGGCAAAGCGAAAGCGAUAAGUAUUCCACCUGGGGAGUACGCCGGCAACGGUGAAACUCAAAUGAAUUGACGGGG
RNAcentral lists this ribosomal RNA (392 nucleotides) under uncultured bacterium. RNAcentral describes it as "partial 16S ribosomal RNA". It matches the Rfam family "Bacterial small subunit ribosomal RNA", at positions 523 to 918 of the family's 1533-position model. The record is from RNAcentral.